This is a long non-coding RNA of Uranotaenia lowii, 785 nucleotides long. RefSeq lists it as uncharacterized. Lineage: Eukaryota; Metazoa; Arthropoda; Insecta; Diptera; Culicidae. The record is from RefSeq and is a predicted model, not a curated record. The transcript is spliced from 2 exons.
GGCUCACGCAGAAAAAGAAUGGGGAGUGGUUCCAACAAAACGUUUUGUUAUUUUAAUUUUUAUUUUAAAAGCAGAUUUUUGGAUAGCUUUUACAAAAAUUUGGAAUAUAGAUAAACGAAAAAUAUUGUUAUUUUUGUACGCUCAUUUUUUAUUGCAUUAAAAUGCAAUUUGGUUUAUUUUAAAUCCAAUAUGAGGUUUCUUCGAUAAACGUGUAACUAAAAAACGAUAACUUGAAUAAAAGAAAAAAAAAAGAUGAAAAACUUUCAGAAUCUGAAACACAACAGCGAGAAAAGUCAUCGAAAAAGUUAAGGCGAAGAAACUUAUACUGAAAGCAGCUUUAAAGAUGCUUCGACCCAAAACGUGCCGUCUACCCUUUCCAUCCACUGCUGCUCAACUGGAUACAAUCGAGCUGCUGGAUUCGAUCGAGUGUUAUAAAUCAGGUUCCCGGUUGGCAUUCUUGGCGUAUGUGUUGGCCGUCGGGGAACGCUUCGGCUUGUCCAGGACGAAGAUACCUUCGUCCUUUUCCUGCGCAUCUGGUUCACGAUGAACAUCACCACCAGAAAGUCGAAGAGCAGACGGCCUUCCCGAUGACAGCCGUUAGGAUGUUCUCCUGCCCAAAGAAGCUCGCGGUUCAGUCGCUGUGGUGCUCGUCCGUCAGCGUAAUGUGUUUGGUCUAGCUCAGAUCCAGGCCGUCCCUGAAGCAACUGGCUCGAGCGAUCGUGAAAAUUUUAAUAAUUGUAAGUUUUUGAUAAAUUCCAAUAAAAAUCUUUUGAACAUGCUAUAAA